GUGCUUGCUUCGGCAGCAGAUGUACUAAACUUGGAACAAUACAGAGAUUAGCAUGGCCUCUGUGCUAAGAUGACAAGCAAAUUUGUGAAGUGUUCCAUAUUUUG
This 104-nucleotide small nuclear RNA is filed under the name Phascolarctos cinereus (koala). Lineage: Eukaryota; Metazoa; Chordata; Mammalia; Diprotodontia; Phascolarctidae. The record is from RNAcentral.